CAUGCAAGCCGAGGGGUAUAGUUAGCUUGCUAACUUGAGACCGGCGCACGGGUGCGUAACGCGUAUGCCACUUGCCCUACUGAAGAGGAUAGCCCAGAGAAAUUUGGAUUAAUACUUUAUAAUAGAUUGAAUGGCAUCAUUUAGUUUUGAAAGAUUUAUCGCAGUAGGAUAGGCAUGCGUAAGAUUAGUUAGUUGGUAAGGUAACGGCUUACCAAGACGAUGAUCUUUAGGGGGCCUGAGAGGGUGAACCCCCACACUGGUACUGAGACACGGACCAGACUCCUACGGGAGGCAGCAGUGAGGAAUAUUGGACAAUGGGUGGAAGCCUGAUCCAGCCAUCCCGCGUGUAGGAUGACGGCCUUAUGGGUUGUAAACUACUUUUAUCUGGGGAUAAACCUACUUACGUGUAAGUAGCUGAAGGUACCAGAAGAAUAAGCACCGGCUAACUCC
This 450-nucleotide ribosomal RNA is filed under the name uncultured bacterium. Its description in RNAcentral is "bacterial SSU rRNA". It matches the Rfam family "Bacterial small subunit ribosomal RNA", at positions 54 to 504 of the family's 1533-position model. The record is from RNAcentral.